RNAcentral lists this ribosomal RNA (301 nucleotides) under uncultured bacterium. RNAcentral describes it as "partial 16S ribosomal RNA". It matches the Rfam family "Bacterial small subunit ribosomal RNA", at positions 509 to 809 of the family's 1533-position model. The record is from RNAcentral.
CAGCCGCCGCGGGAAUACGUAGGGUGCAAGCGUUAAUCGGAAUUACUGGGCGUAAAGCGUGCGCAGGCGGUUAUAUAAGUCAGAUGUGAAAUCCCCGGGCUCAACCUGGGAACUGCAUUUGAGGCUGUAUGGCUAGAGUGUGUCAGAGGGGGGUAGAAUUCCACGUGUAGCAGUGAAAUGCGUAGAUACGUGGAGGAAUACCGAUGGCGAAGGCAGCCCCCUGGGAUAACACUGACGCUCAUGCACGAAAGCGUGGGGAGCAAACAGGAUUAGAGACCCCUGUAGUCCCUGUCUCUUAUAA